Molecule: ribosomal RNA, 1484 nt
Filed under: uncultured bacterium
Lineage: Bacteria
Description: bacterial SSU rRNA
Rfam family: Bacterial small subunit ribosomal RNA
Source: RNAcentral
AGAGUUUGAUUAUGGCUCAGGAUGAACGCUAGCGGCAGGCUUAAUACAUGCAAGUCGAACGGCAGCGGGUGUAGCAAUACAUGCCGGCGAGUGGCGCACGGGUGCGUAACACGUGUGCAACCUACCUUCAACAGGAGAAUAGCUCUGAGAAAUUGGAAUUAAUACUCCGUAAUAUUAUUGAACGGCAUCGUUUAAUAAUUAAAGUUCCGGCGGUUGAAGAUGGGCACGCGAAACAUUAGCUAGUUGGAGAGGUAACGGCUCACCAAGGCAACGAUGUUUAGGGGUUCUGAGAGGAUUCACCCCCACACUGGUACUGAGACACGGACCAGACUCCUACGGGAGGCAGCAGUAAGGAAUAUUGGUCAAUGGGCGCGAGCCUGAACCAGCCAUGCCGCGUGAAGGAUGACUGCCCUAUGGGUUGUAAACUUCUUUUAUACAGGAAAAAACCCCCGGACGUGUUCGGGGCUGAUGGUACUGUAAGAAUAAGGAUCGGCUAACUCCGUGCCAGCAGCCGCGGUAAUACGGAGGAUCCAAGCGUUAUCCGGAUUUAUUGGGUUUAAAGGGUGCGCAGGCGGAUUGGUAAGUCAGUGGUGAAAUCCCUCAGCUUAACUGAGGAACUGCCAUUGAUACUAUUAGUCUUGAGUACAUUUGAAGUGGGCGGAAUGUGUCAUGUAGCGGUGAAAUGCUUAGAGAUGACACAGAACACCGAUGGCGAAGGCAGCUCACUAAACUGUAACUGACGCUCAUGCACGAAAGCGUGGGGAUCAAACAGGAUUAGAUACCCUGGUAGUCCACGCCGUAAACGAUGAUUACUCGAUGUGUGCGAUACACAGUACGCGUCUAAGGGAAACCGAUAAGUAAUCCACCUGGGGAGUACGAUCGCAAGAUUGAAACUCAAAGGAAUUGACGGGGGCCCGCACAAGCGGAGGAGCAUGUGGUUUAAUUCGAUGAUACGCGAGGAACCUUACCUAGGCUUAAAUGACAGUUGACGGUUGCUGAAAAGUAACUUUCUUCGGACAACUGUUAAGGUGCUGCGUGGCUGUCGUCAGCUCGUGCCGUGAGGUGUUUGGUUAAGUCCAGCAACGAGCGCAACCCCUAUCCUUAGUUACCAUCAGGUUAUGCUGGGGACUCUAAGGAAACUGCCCGCGCAAGCGGUGAGGAAGGUGGGGAUGGCGUCAAGUCAGCACGGCCCUUACGUCUAGGGCUACACACGUGCUACAAUGGCCGGUACAGUGGGCAGCUACAUGGUGACAUGAUGCUAAUCUCCAAAACCGGUCUCAGCUCGGAUCGAAGUCUGCAACUCGACUUCGUGAAGUUGGAUUCGCUAGUAAUCGUAUAUCAGCAAUGAUACGGUGAAUACGUUCCCGGGCCUUGUACACACCGCCCGUCAAGCCAUGGAAGUUGGGGGGACCUGAAGUCGAUGCCCGCAAGGAGUCGCCUAGGGUAAAACCAAUGACUGGGGCUAAGUCGUAACAAGGUAACCG